This 407-nucleotide ribosomal RNA is filed under the name uncultured bacterium. Its description in RNAcentral is "partial 16S ribosomal RNA". It matches the Rfam family "Bacterial small subunit ribosomal RNA", at positions 28 to 525 of the family's 1533-position model. The record is from RNAcentral.
GACGAACGCUGGCGGCGUGCUUAACACAUGCAAGUCGAACGAAGUGGCGAACGGGUGAGUAAUACGUGAGUAACCUGCCCUCCUUUUUGGGAUAAGCCUUGGAAACGGGGUCUAAUACCGAAUAAAGGGGGUUGGGCUCGCGGCCUAUCAGCUUGUUGGUGGGGUGAUGGCCUAACAAGGCGGUGACGGGUAGCCGGCCUGAGAGGGUGACCGGGAACGUAGGGACGGUGAUACGGCCUAGAGGAGUACGGGAGGGAGCAGGUGGGGAAAUUGCACAAUGGGCGAAAGCGUGAUGCAGCGACGCGGCGUGGGGGAUGAAGGCUUUCGGGUUGUAAACCUCUGGAGCUAUCGAACGGGUAGGUAGAGAAAAAGCGCCGGCUACCUACGUGCCAGCGGCGGCGGUAAUA